CCUACGGGUGGCAGCAGGGGGGAAUAUUGGACAAUGGGGGGAACCCUGAUCCAGCCGUGCCGCGUGUGUGAAGAAGGCCCUCGGGUUGUAAAGCACUUUCAGUGAGGAAGAACGCCUGGUGGUUAAUACCCAUCAGGAAAGACAUCACUCACAGAAGAAGCACCGGCUAACUCCGUGCCAGCAGCCGCGGUAAUACGGAGGGUGCGAGCGUUAAUCGGAAUUACUGGGCGUAAAGCGCGCGUAGGUGGCUUGAUAAGCCGGUUGUGAAAGCCCCGGGCUCAACCUGGGAACGGCAUCCGGAACUGUCAAGCUAGAGUGCAGGAGAGGAAGGUAGAAUUCCCGGUGUAGCGGUGAAAUGCGUAGAGAUCGGGAGGAAUACCAGUGGCGAAGGCGGCCUUCUGGACUGACACUGACACUGAGGUGCGAAAGCGUGGGUAGCAAACAGGAUUAGAUACCCGGGUAGUC
This 465-nucleotide ribosomal RNA is filed under the name Vreelandella stevensii. RNAcentral describes it as "partial 16S ribosomal RNA". It matches the Rfam family "Bacterial small subunit ribosomal RNA", at positions 338 to 795 of the family's 1533-position model. The record is from RNAcentral. Lineage: Bacteria; Pseudomonadati; Pseudomonadota; Gammaproteobacteria; Oceanospirillales; Halomonadaceae.